This 82-nucleotide transfer RNA is filed under the name Candidatus Sungbacteria bacterium RIFCSPLOWO2_01_FULL_59_16. Its description in RNAcentral is "tRNA-Leu". It matches the Rfam family "tRNA". Rfam says of the family: Transfer RNA (tRNA) molecules are approximately 80 nucleotides in length. Their secondary structure includes four short double-helical elements and three loops (D, anti-codon, and T loops). Further hydrogen bonds mediate the characteristic L-shaped molecular structure. tRNAs have two regions of fundamental functional importance: the anti-codon, which is responsible for specific mRNA codon recognition, and the 3' end, to which the tRNAs corresponding amino acid is attached (by aminoacyl-tRNA synthetases). tRNAs cope with the degeneracy of the genetic code in two manners: having more than one tRNA (with a specific anti-codon) for a particular amino acid; and 'wobble' base-pairing, i.e. permitting non-standard base-pairing at the 3rd anti-codon position. Lineage: Bacteria; Candidatus Sungiibacteriota. The record is from RNAcentral.
GCCGGUGUGGUGAAACCGGAAGACACGCAUGGUUUAGAGCCAUGUGCCGCAAGGCGUAGAGGUUCGAAUCCUCUCACCGGCA